RNAcentral lists this ribosomal RNA (253 nucleotides) under uncultured bacterium. RNAcentral's name for it is "partial 16S ribosomal RNA". It matches the Rfam family "Bacterial small subunit ribosomal RNA", at positions 524 to 776 of the family's 1533-position model. The record is from RNAcentral.
UACGUAGGGUGCGAGCGUUAAUCGGAAUUACUGGGCGUAAAGCGUGCGCAGGCGGCUUUGCAAGACAGAUGUGAAAUCCCCGGGCUCAACCUGGGAACUGCAUUUGUGACUGCAAGGCUAGAGUACGGCAGAGGGGGAUGGAAUUCCGCGUGUAGCAGUGAAAUGUGUAGAUAUGCGGAGGAACACCGAUGGCGAAGGCAAUCCCCUGGGCCUGCACUGACGCUCAUGCACGAAAGCGUGGGGAGCAAACAGG